This 440-nucleotide ribosomal RNA is filed under the name uncultured bacterium. RNAcentral describes it as "partial 16S ribosomal RNA". It matches the Rfam family "Bacterial small subunit ribosomal RNA", at positions 338 to 795 of the family's 1533-position model. The record is from RNAcentral.
CCUACGGGAGGCUGCAGUGGGGGAUAUUGCACAAUGGGGGGAACUCUGAUGCAGCGACGCCGCGUGGGUGAAGGAGCGUUUCGGCGCGUAAAACCCUAUCGGCAGAGGAGUAGGAGGACGGUACCUGACUAAGAAGCCCCGGCUAACUACGUGCCAGCAGCCGCGGUAAUAGGGAGGAUGCGAGCGUUAUCCGGAUUUAUUGGGUUUAAAGGGUGCGUAGGCGGGCUGUUAAGGCAGCGGUAAAAAUUCGGGGCUCAACCCCGUCUGGCCGUUGAUACUGGGGGCCUUGAGUGGGCGAGAAGAAGGCGGAAUGCGUGGUGUAGCGGUGAUAUGCAUAGAUAUCACGCAGAACCCCGAUUGCGAAGGCAGCCUUCCGGCGUCCUACUGACGCUGAGGCACGAAAGUGCGGGGAUCGAACAGGAUUAGAUACCCUGGUAGUC